Long non-coding RNA from Homo sapiens (human), 1464 nucleotides. Ensembl annotates it as TMEM161B divergent transcript. Its record names the gene TMEM161B-DT. Lineage: Eukaryota; Metazoa; Chordata; Mammalia; Primates; Hominidae. The record is from Ensembl.
CUUCUGUUUUCCUUUUUAGUGUGUUCUUUCCUCUCACCUUCCUUCACUCCUGUCACUUCAUUAUUUAGCUAAUGAUUUUUUUUCUUCUAUUAAUGUUGGUCAGUGACCCAGACAUUGUCUUCAUUCUGAAGUGAAAUUGAUUUAGGCAAGUCCCCUCAACUAUUUCUUGACUAUGCUUAGGAUUAAAGAGCUCUUCAGAUACAUGAACUAUUUCCUUUUGUUCAGUAUCUGUGAUAUUGUUUUCUUUUGUUUAAUCUCUUUGCUCAGGAUUUUAGUUUUAACUAGAACCAGUUCAGUGACUAAGGAAUUCAAAAAACUUUUAAGAGAUUCCACCACUGCCACCCCACCUGAUUUCUGAUGUUCCAUAUAAUCUAAUGAAAUAAGUACGCCUCCUUUCCCUUCAGACUAUGUGAGAAGGGAUCCAAAACCAAGCAGUCUGGAAGCCAUUACACAGAGAGUUUGCCCUGUGCUUGGCUUCCCGGAACUGGGGACUCUUGCUAGAAAAACUCAAAAGGGCCUUUUGGUAUUGAGAUGAAGAUUUCUGUCCAGGCUGAUUUCUUUUCUUGGUGGAAUCAACUCUCGCUGCUCAGCUGUGACUUCCUGUUCCUGAGAUGCUCAGCUCAAUUAACUUCUCAUCCCUCCCCGGCUCCUAAUCUGAGGGGAGAUAUAAAUCAGCAUCGUAUUUAUUAUAUGUUAUGGCCACAUUCUAGAUGUCUGUAUUUCUUAUUAGUAUAUCAUUGACAAAAAUCUGCCCUACUCAACUCACUGUAUUCUCUUUCAGAUCCAAUGUGAUAAUUUAUGUGAAAUCUUUCUGCAAACUAUACAGUAUGAUAAAAAUAUAAGGUAGUUUCACUGGAAACAACAGAAGACUAGAAGCUGAUGUGACGUGGCAAUAUCAACCAGGAUCAGUUAAUCAUCACAUCUUCAGUAGUCUGGAAAUGUCAGCAUGCCAUGAAAGUAGGUGUUCAAGAACAUGACUGGAAAAAUACUUCAAUCCUCAGCCCACUUGGAUGAAGCCAAAGAAUCCACUGUCUAUCUUUUCUAUUCCAGCUGUACCUGUCAAAGAAUACCCAUCUCGAGUUCUGGAUAUGUGCUCUGAGAAGGUGCCCAUGUCACCGACCACACUGGAGGCCAAUGCAGAUACUGGGGGAAGGUUCCAUGGUAGCUAAGUGUGGACAAGCUAAUCACUGAAGUUCCCUGAUGCAGAGUUGAUAAUCUCUCUAGAGUUGGAUGAAAGACUGUGCUGCCUUGAAGCUCUGAGAGAUGCCAUGCCAAUUCAAGGCAGGGUCUUUAUUGUUGAAACUCUUGCGUAAUGACAUCUUUAUUCAGGUGAAAAUACAGGAUGAAUUUCAACUAUAUGAUAUUGUUUAUGUUCCUCAGACAUGUUAUUUGUCUUUACAAAGAUUGGUUUCAAUAAACUGUGUGACUGAUAUUAAAUAAACAUGGAAUUUUACACAUUCAUAA